Molecule: ribosomal RNA, 460 nt
Filed under: uncultured bacterium
Lineage: Bacteria
Description: partial 16S ribosomal RNA
Rfam family: Bacterial small subunit ribosomal RNA
Source: RNAcentral
CCUACGGGUGACAGCAGUGAGGAAUAUUGGUCAAUGGACGAGAGUCUGAACCAGCCAAGUAGCGUGAAGGAUGACUGCCCUAUGGGUUGUAAACUUCUUUUAUAUGGGAAUAAAAUGUUCCACGUGUGGGAUUUUGUAUGUACCAUAUGAAUAAGGAUCGGCUAACUCCGUGCCAGCAGCCGCGGUAAUACGGAGGAUCCGAGCGUUAUCCGGAUUGAUUGGGUUUAAAGGGAGCGUAGGGGGAUUGUUAAGUCAGUUGUGAAGGUUUGCGGCUCAACCGUAAAAUUGCAGUUGAAACUGGCAGUCUUGAGUACAGUAGAGGUGGGCGGAAUUCGUGGUGUCGCGGUGACAUGCUUAGAUCUCACGAAGGACUCCGAUUGCGACGGCAGCUCACUGGACUGCACCUGACACUGAGGCUCGAACGUGUGGGUAUCAAACAGGAUUAGAUACCCGUGUAGUC